RNAcentral lists this ribosomal RNA (397 nucleotides) under uncultured bacterium. RNAcentral describes it as "partial 16S ribosomal RNA". It matches the Rfam family "Bacterial small subunit ribosomal RNA", at positions 523 to 918 of the family's 1533-position model. The record is from RNAcentral.
AUACGUAGGGGGCGAGCGUUGUCCGGAAUGAUUGGGCGUAAAGGGCGCGUAGGCGGCCCGGUAAGUCUGGAGUGAAAGUCCUGUUUUUAAGAUGGGAAUUGCUUUGGAUACUGUCGGGCUUGAGUGCAGGAGAGGUAAGUGGAAUUCCCAGUGUAGCGGUGAAAUGCGUAGAGAUUGGGAGGAACACCAGUGGCGAAGGCGACUUACUGGACUGUAACUGACGCUGAGGCGCGAAAGUGUGGGGAGCAAACAGGAUUAGAUACCCUGGUAGUCCACACUGUAAACGAUGAAUGCUAGGUGUAGGGGGUAUCGACCCCUUCUGUGCCGCAGUCAGCACAAUAAGCAUUCCGCCUGGGGAGUACGGCCGCAAGGUUGAAACUCAAAGGAAUUGACGGGG